GACUGCGUACCUUUUGUAUAAUGGGUCAGCGACUUAUAUUCUGUAGCAAGGUUAACCGAAUAGGGGAGCCGGAGGGAAACCGAGUCUUAAUUGGGCGUUAAGUUGCAGGGUAUAGACCCGAAACCCGGUGAUCUAGCCAUGGGCAGGUUGAAGGUUGGGUAACACUAACUGGAGGACCGAACCGACUAAUGUUGAAAAAUUAGCGGAUGACCUGUGGCUGGGGGUGAAAGGCCAAUCAAACCGGGAGAUAGCUGGUUCUCCCCGAAAGCUAUUUAGGUAGCGCCUCGUGAAUUCAUCUCCGGGGGUAGAGCACUGUUUCGGCUAGGGGGCCAUCCCGGCUUACCAACCCGAUGCAAACUGCGAAUACCGGAGAAUGUUAUCACGGGAGACACACGGCGGGUGCUAACGUCCGUCGUGAAGAGGGAAACAACCCAGACCGCCAGCUAAGGUCCCAAAGUCAUGGUUAAGUGGGAAACGAUGUGGGAAGGCCCAGACAGCCAGGAUGUUGGCUUAGAAGCAGCCAUCAUUUAAAGAAAGCGUAAUAGCUCACUGGUCGAGUCGGCCUGCGCGGAAGAUGUAACGGGGCUAAACCAUGCACCGAAGCUGCGGCAGCGACGCUUAUGCGUUGUUGGGUAGGGGAGCGUUCUGUAAGCCUGCGAAGGUGGCCUGUGAGGGUUGCUGGAGGUAUCAGAAGUGCGAAUGCUGACAUAAGUAACGAUAAAGCGGGUGAAAAGCCCGCUCGCCGGAAGACCAAGGGUUCCUGUCCAACGUUAAUCGGGGCAGGGUGAGUCGACCCCUAAGGCGAGGCCGAAAGGCGUAGUCGAUGGGAAACGGGUUAAUAUUCCCGUACUUGGUGUUACUGCGAAGGGGGGACGGAGAAGGCUAUGUUGGCCGGGCGACGGUUGUCCCGGUUUAAGCGUGUAGGUGUGUGUUCCAGGUAAAUCCGGUUCACUUUAACACUGAGGCGUGACGACGAGGCACUACGGUGCUGAAGCAACAAAUGCCCUGCUUCCAGGAAAAGCCUCUAAGCAUCAGGUAACAUCAAAUCGUACCCCAAACCGACACAGGUGGUCAGGUAGAGAAUACCAAGGCGCUUGAGAGAACUCGGGUGAAGGAACUAGGCAAAAUGGUGCCGUAACUUCGGGAGAAGGCACGCUGACACGUAGGUGAAGUGAUUUACUCAUGGAGCUGAAGUCAGUCGAAGAUACCAGCUGGCUGCAACUGUUUAUUAAAAACACAGCACUGUGCAAACACGAAAGUGGACGUAUACGGUGUGACGCCUGCCCGGUGCCGGAAGGUUAAUUGAUGGGGUCAGCGCAAGCGAAGCUCCUGAUCGAAGCCCCGGUAAACGGCGGCCGUAACUAUAACGGUCCUAAGGUAGCGAAAUUCCUUGUCGGGUAAGUUCCGACCUGCACGAAUGGCGUAAUGAUGGCCAGGCUGUCUCCACCCGAGACUCAGUGAAAUUGAACUCGCUGUGAAGAUGCAGUGUACCCGCGGCAAGACGGAAAGACCCCGUGAACCUUUACUAUAGCUUGACACUGAACAUUGAGCCUUGAUGUGUAGGAUAGGUGGGAGGCUUUGAAGUGUGGACGCCAGUCUGCAUGGAGCCGACCUUGAAAUACCACCCUUUAAUGUUUGAUGUUCUAACGUGGACCCGUUACCCGGGUUGCGGACAGUGUCUGGUGGGUAGUUUGACUGGGGCGGUCUCCUCCUAAAGAGUAACGGAGGAGCACGAAGGUUGGCUAAUCCUGGUCGGACAUCAGGAGGUUAGUGCAAUGGCAUAAGCCAGCUUGACUGCGAGCGUGACGGCGCGAGCAGGUGCGAAAGCAGGUCAUAGUGAUCCGGUGGUUCUGAAUGGAAGGGCCAUCGCUCAACGGAUAAAAGGUACUCCGGGGAUAACAGGCUGAUACCGCCCAAGAGUUCAUAUCGACGGCGGUGUUUGGCACCUCGAUGUCGGCUCAUCACAUCCUGGGGCUGAAGUAGGUCCCAAGGGUAUGGCUGUUCGCCAUUUAAAGUGGUACGCGAGCUGGGUUUAGAACGUCGUGAGACAGUUCGGUCCCUAUCUGCCGUGGGCGCUGGAGAACUGAGGGGGGCUGCUCCUAGUACGAGAGGACCGGAGUGGACGCAUCACUGGUGUUCGGGUUGUCAUGCCAAUGGCACUGCCCGGUAGCUAAAUGCGGAAGAGAUAAGUGCUGAAAGCAUCUAAGCACGAAACUUGCCCCGAG
RNAcentral lists this ribosomal RNA (2225 nucleotides) under Salmonella enterica subsp. enterica serovar Enteritidis. Its description in RNAcentral is "partial 23S ribosomal RNA". It matches the Rfam family "Bacterial large subunit ribosomal RNA", at positions 595 to 2803 of the family's 2925-position model. Lineage: Bacteria; Pseudomonadati; Pseudomonadota; Gammaproteobacteria; Enterobacterales; Enterobacteriaceae. The record is from RNAcentral.